RNAcentral lists this ribosomal RNA (253 nucleotides) under uncultured bacterium. RNAcentral describes it as "partial 16S ribosomal RNA". It matches the Rfam family "Bacterial small subunit ribosomal RNA", at positions 524 to 776 of the family's 1533-position model. The record is from RNAcentral.
UACGGGGGGGGCAAGCGUUGUUCGGAAUUACUGGGCGUAAAGGGCUCGUAGGUGGCCAACUAAGUCAGACGUGAAAUCCCUCGGCUUAACCGGGGAACUGCGUCUGAUACUGGAUGACUUGAGUUUGGGAGAGGGAUGCGGAAUUCCAGGUGUAGCGGUGAAAUGCGUAGAUAUCUGGAGGAACACCGGUGGCGAAGGCGGCAUCCUGGACCAACACUGACACUGAGGAGCGAAAGCCAGGGGAGCAAACGGA